GACGAACGCUGGCGGCGUGCUUAACACAUGCAAGUCGAACGAGAAAGCCCUUCGGGGUAAGUACAGUGGCGAACGGGUGAGUAACACGUGGGCAACCUGCCCCAGAGAGCGGGACAACCCGGGGAAACCCGGGCUAAUACCGCAUGAUGCGUCUCCACUUAAGUGGAGCCGCCAAAUGGUAGCUUCGGCCUCCGCUCUGGGAUGGGCCCGCGCCGGAUUAGCUAGUUGGUUGGGGUAACGGCCCACCAAGGCGACGAUCCGUAGCUGGUCUGAGAGGACGAUCAGCCACACUGGGACUGAGACACGGCCCAGACGCCUACGGGAGGCAGCAGUGGGGAAUCUUGCGCAAUGGGCGAAAGCCUGAUGCAGCAACGCCGCGUGGGGGAAGAAGGCCUUCGGGUUGUAAACCUCUUUCAGUAGGGACGAAGCUUCCGGGGUUAAUAGCCUACGGGGUGACGGUACCUACAGAAGAAGCCCCGGCUAACUACGUGCCAGCCGCCGCAGUAA
Molecule: ribosomal RNA, 507 nt
Filed under: uncultured bacterium
Lineage: Bacteria
Description: partial 16S ribosomal RNA
Rfam family: Bacterial small subunit ribosomal RNA
Source: RNAcentral